Molecule: ribosomal RNA, 253 nt
Filed under: uncultured bacterium
Lineage: Bacteria
Description: partial 16S ribosomal RNA
Rfam family: Bacterial small subunit ribosomal RNA
Source: RNAcentral
UACAGAGGGGGCAAGCGUUAUUCGGAAUUAUUGGGCGUAAAGGGCGCGUAGGCGGCCUUGCAAGUGGCGGGUGAAAUCCCUCGGCUUAACCGAGGAACUGCCUGCCAGACUGCAAGGCUCGAGACCGGGAGAGGUGAGUGGAAUUCCCAGUGUAGCGGUGAAAUGCGUAGAUAUCAGGAGGAACACCUGCGGUGUAGACGGCUUACUGGACCAUAACUGACGCUGAGGCACGAAAGCGUGGGUAGCAAACAGG